AAAAAUAUUCAAUAAAAUAUUUUAUUUUCUUAUAAAACAAUAUUUAUAAAGUUACCGGUAAAUAAUUUUUGUAGCGUAAAAGCUAAAUAAAUUCAUACAUACUGUAAUACAGAUAACCAAAGCAUAAGAUUUAAUUUACAAUGACUAGUGGGCCCACGAACAACCAAAAGUAUCAAAGCGGUAAACCUACAGUUUUUUAGGAUGCAAGUUCAAUUGUAGCCCUCAACAAAGUGAGCUAUCUACUGACUAUCGUGAGCCUGAAAUGGGUGAAAAUGAGGGUGGUAAGAUUAUAUAAUCCCUGUGAGUAAACAAAUACCAUCUAAAAUAUCUAAAGCUGAGUAAAUGGAGACAAAUAAAAUAGAUUAGCAUAAAAAUGAUUCUCAGCAUUUCGAACUCAUUUUAAUAAGAUAAAAUAGAUUCAUUUCACCAAAAUAAACAACGAGACUUAUGAUUUACUGAAAAGUUUGGCUCGUGCCAAAAUCAUUCUCAUACUCAGUUAUCAGGGAUACCUUGACCGAGGGCUAUCCCAACUAAGUCCGCCAAGGCUGUUAAAAAGUUAUGUACGCAUAAAUCAUGUUUUUAUUUUGAAAACAUAGUCAUUCCUUAGCGUUGGCUGAGUUCACCCUCACGUGGUGGUUUGGCGUGAAGUGAACUCUAAAGUGUUAACCUCAGGAGUUAUCCAUUCGUGCCUCUCAUACUGAGGUAAGAAUAUAAUAGGGUUACCGUGCCCCUCUAAUAGGCUGGUCCACGGAACCCAUCCACUACAGCGACCAAUAUAUAACCCACCAAUUCAAUAAAAUUUGCAAUAGUAUGACAUGACAAUUAUUUUAUUUUACAGUCUCUCAAGGCAAAUUAACAGUUCAUACAUUUUCAACACAAAUAACAAUUCAGCCAUUCAUGCAAAUAUUAUCAUAAGCCAUUCAAUUCAAACCAUGAUUUAUAACACAACAAUUAGUCUCCAAUUACUCCAUUUUUAAAACCAUCAUUCAAUUUCAAGACAAUUUUUAAAAUCAUUUUCAUUUAAUCACAUUUUGCUUAUAAAACAUAAAGAUUUACCAUUUAAACUCAUUUUCCAUAAAAUCACAAAAUUGGAUAAAAACCACUUUAGAUAAUUAAGACGAUAAUAAGAUUACUAACUAUUUCGGGAGUCAAAUUUUGAAUACUUCGAUUCUUGAUCCUCGGGUACUAUCUCUUUACUUUUGCCAGAAUGCUCAUCACCUAGACAUAAUACACAAUAAGCCAUUUACUAUAUUUGUGCUAAAUUGUUAUAAAACCAAUUCAGGCUCUAUACUAAUGCAUGAAAUGGCAUGUGAAAUACUCGGGUAACUAUCUAAAUACGGUGUUCAAUAUAAAUUCAGUUAUGUACCUAAAUAAAACGAUAUUGGCCUAAUUCGAUCUAUCACCCGAUUAAUUGGCCAAUACGUCCAAUUCAACUCCAAAUAAUUCCAUUUCUCUCCCAAUACUUCAAAUCACCAAACACAAGUCAAAAAACAUAAAAUUUAGCAAAACCAUCAUCACAUUUUCUCUUGAAAAAUUCGGCCAUGGUGGGUGCAUCAACACUAUAAUUUUUCAAGCUUGAUUCUCACACCAUAAAUCACUAAUUCCUAACCAAAUCACUUGAAAUAAAAUCAAAAUCAUCAUCAAUAUUCCACAUGGAGAAUUCAGCCAAUGAUGGGUGAUGGAAGAACAUGAAUUUUUCUUGCUUGAUUUUCAUGCUACACAUCACUAACUAACUAAAAACACUAAAAUACAUUGAAAUCUAACCAAAUCCAAGUUCAAAACUCCUCCCCCUAUGUUCGGCCAGCAAGGGUAUCCUCAUGGAAACUUGAUUCUCAACCAUGGAAAAUGAAAAAGAAUGCAUAGGAAAGGUAGAUCACAAGCUAGAAUUGAAAAAUCUUACAUUUUUUCACUUGUUUCCUUGAAUUUUCACACUUUUCCCUUGAAUUUUUCCACCUAGGGUUUUUGUUCUUCUUUUCUUCCUUUGUUCUUCCUUUGGC
RNAcentral lists this long non-coding RNA (1997 nucleotides) under Theobroma cacao (cacao). RNAcentral describes it as "long non-coding RNA (TCAC_LNC003320)". Lineage: Eukaryota; Viridiplantae; Streptophyta; Magnoliopsida; Malvales; Malvaceae. The record is from RNAcentral.